This 84-nucleotide transfer RNA is filed under the name Robertkochia marina. It matches the Rfam family "tRNA". From Rfam's summary of the family: Transfer RNA (tRNA) molecules are approximately 80 nucleotides in length. The record is from Rfam by way of RNAcentral. Lineage: Bacteria; Pseudomonadati; Bacteroidota; Flavobacteriia; Flavobacteriales; Flavobacteriaceae. RNAcentral also lists the same sequence under 1 other name.
GCUCACGUGGUGGAAUUGGUAGACACGCUAUCUUGAGGGGGUAGUGUCCGUAUGGACGUGGAAGUUCGAAUCUUCUCGUGAGCA